GGUUAAGCGACUAAGCGUACACGGUGGAUGCCCUGGCAGUCAGAGGCGAUGAAGGACGUGCUAAUCUGCGAUAAGCGUCGGUAAGGUGAUAUGAACCGUUAUAACCGGCGAUUUCCGAAUGGGGAAACCCAGUGUGUUUCGACACACUAUCAUUAACUGAAUCCAUAGGUUAAUGAGGCGAACCGGGGGAACUGAAACAUCUAAGUACCCCGAGGAAAAGAAAUCAACCGAGAUUCCCCCAGUAGCGGCGAGCGAACGGGGAGCAGCCCAGAGCCUGAAUCAGUGUGUGUGUUAGUGGAAGCGUCUGGAAAGGCGCGCGAUACAGGGUGACAGCCCCGUACACAAAAAUGCACAUGCUGUGAGCUCGAUGAGUAGGGCGGGACACGUGGUAUCCUGUCUGAAUAUGGGGGGACCAUCCUCCAAGGCUAAAUACUCCUGACUGACCGAUAGUGAACCAGUACCGUGAGGGAAAGGCGAAAAGAACCCCGGCGAGGGGAGUGAAAAAGAACCUGAAACCGUGUACGUACAAGCAGUGGGAGCACGCUUAGGCGUGUGACUGCGUACCUUUUGUAUAAUGGGUCAGCGACUUAUAUUCUGUAGCAAGGUUAACCGAAUAGGGGAGCCGAAGG
Molecule: ribosomal RNA, 629 nt
Filed under: Escherichia coli
Lineage: Bacteria; Pseudomonadati; Pseudomonadota; Gammaproteobacteria; Enterobacterales; Enterobacteriaceae
Description: partial 23S ribosomal RNA
Rfam family: Bacterial large subunit ribosomal RNA
Source: RNAcentral